This 270-nucleotide ribosomal RNA is filed under the name uncultured archaeon. RNAcentral describes it as "partial 16S ribosomal RNA". It matches the Rfam family "Archaeal small subunit ribosomal RNA", at positions 477 to 747 of the family's 1478-position model. The record is from RNAcentral.
CCGCAGCCCGAGUGGUGACCGAUAUUAUUGAGCCUAAAGCGUCCGUAGCCGGUCUGGUAAAUUCUUGGGUAAAUUGGGCAGCUUAACUGUCCGACUUCCGAGGAGACUGCCAGACUUGGGACCGGGAGAGGUCAGAGGUACUCCAGGGGUAGGGGCUAAAUCCUGUAAUCCUUGGGGGACCACCAGUGGCGAAGGCGUCUGACUAGAACGGAUCCGACGGUAAGGGACGAAACCCUGGGGCGCGAACCGGAUUAGAUACCCGAGUAGUCC